Molecule: ribosomal RNA, 253 nt
Filed under: uncultured bacterium
Lineage: Bacteria
Description: partial 16S ribosomal RNA
Rfam family: Bacterial small subunit ribosomal RNA
Source: RNAcentral
UACGGAGGGAGCUAGCGUUGUUUGGAAUUACUGGGCGUAAAGCGCACGUAGGCUGAUAGUUAAGUGAGGGGUGAAAUCCCGAGGCUCAACCUCGGAACUGCCCUUCAUACUGGCUAUCUCGAGUCCGGAAGAGGUUAGUGGAAUUCCCAGUGUAGAGGUGAAAUUCGUAGAUAUUGGGAAGAACACCAGUGGCGAAGGCGGCUAACUGGUCCGGUACUGACGCUGAGGUGCGAAAGCGUGGGGAGCAAACAGG